RNAcentral lists this ribosomal RNA (513 nucleotides) under uncultured bacterium. RNAcentral describes it as "bacterial SSU rRNA". It matches the Rfam family "Bacterial small subunit ribosomal RNA", at positions 17 to 518 of the family's 1533-position model. The record is from RNAcentral.
UCCUGGCUUAGGAUGAACGCUAGCUACAGGCUUAACACAUGCAAGUCGCGGGGCAUCAUGGUGUGUAGCAAUACACACUGAUGGCGACCGGCGGAUGGGUGAGUAACGCGUAUCCAACCUGGCCCUAUCUCGGGCACAGCCCCUCGAAAGAGGGAUUAAUUCCCGAUGUUCCCACGAGUUCGCAUGUCUUGUGGGCAAAGGCCUUUGCCGGAUAGGGAUGGGGAUGCGUUCCAUUAGGCAGUCGGCGGGGUAACGGCCCACCGAGCCUUCGAUGGAUAGGGGUUCUGAGAGGAAGGCCCCCCACACUGGGACUGAGACACGGCCCAGACUCCUACGGGAGGCAGCAGUGAGGAAUAUUGGUCAAUGGCGGCAACGCUGAACCAGCCAAGUAGCGUGAGGGAUUACGGCCCUAUGGGUUUUAAACCUCUUUUGUUGGGGAGCAACCUGUGCCACUAGUGGCACACUGCGAGUACCCUUCGAAUAAGCAUCGGCUAACUCCGUGCCAGCAGCCGC